RNAcentral lists this ribosomal RNA (213 nucleotides) under uncultured bacterium. RNAcentral describes it as "partial 16S ribosomal RNA". It matches the Rfam family "Bacterial small subunit ribosomal RNA", at positions 1290 to 1500 of the family's 1533-position model. The record is from RNAcentral.
AGUUCGGAUUGUAGUCUGNAACCCGACUACAUGAAGCCGGAAUCGCUAGUAAUCGCGAAUCAGAAUGUCGCGGUGAAUACGUUCCCGGGUCUUGUACACACCGCCCGUCACACCAUGGGAGCCGGAAAUGCCCGAAGUCAGUGGCCCAACCUCCAAAGGAGGGAGCUGCCGAAGGUGGAGCUGGUAACUGGGGUGAAGUCGUAACAAGGUAUC